GACGAACGCUGGCGGCGUGCUUAACACAUGCAAGUCGAACGGAAAGGCCCUGCUUUUGUGGGGUGCUCGAGUGGCGAACGGGUGAGUAACACGUGAGUAACCUGCCCUUGACUUUGGGAUAACUUCAGGAAACUGGGGCUAAUACCGGAUAGGAGCUCCUGCUGCAUGGUGGGGGUUGGAAAGUUUCGGCGGUUGGGGAUGGACUCGCGGCUUAUCAGCUUGUUGGUGGGGUAGUGGCUUACCAAGGCUUUGACGGGUAGCCGGCCUGAGAGGGUGACCGGCCACAUUGGAACUGAGAUACGGCCCAGACUCCUACGGGAGGCAGCAGUGGGGAAUGUUGCACAAUGGGCGGAAGCCUGAUGCAGCAACGCCGCGUGCGGGAUGACGGCCUUCGGGUUGUAAACCGCUUUCGCCUGUGACGAAGCGUGAGUGACGGUAAUGGGUAAAGAAGCACCGGCUAACUACGUG
RNAcentral lists this ribosomal RNA (468 nucleotides) under uncultured bacterium. RNAcentral's name for it is "partial 16S ribosomal RNA". It matches the Rfam family "Bacterial small subunit ribosomal RNA", at positions 28 to 507 of the family's 1533-position model. The record is from RNAcentral.